UAGGCGACCGCCCACAGCCGG
This 21-nucleotide unclassified non-coding RNA is filed under the name Chlamydomonas reinhardtii. RNAcentral's name for it is "small RNA Cre_2322". The record is from RNAcentral. Lineage: Eukaryota; Viridiplantae; Chlorophyta; Chlorophyceae; Chlamydomonadales; Chlamydomonadaceae.